UGGGGAAUAUUGCACAAUGGGCGCAAGCCUGAUGCUGCCAUGCCGCGUGUAUGAAGAAGGCCUUCGGGUUGUAAAGUACUUUCAGCGGGGAGGAAGGGAGUAAAGUUAAUACCUUUGCUCAUUGACGUUACCCGCAGAAGAAGCACCGGCUAACUCCGUGCCAGCAGCCGCGGUAAUACGGAGGGUGCAAGCGUUAAUCGGAAUUACUGGGCGUAAAGCGCACGCAGGCGGUUUGUUAAGUCAGAUGUGAAAUCCUCGGGCUCAACCUGGGAACUGCAUCUGAUACUGGCAAGCUUGAGUCUCGUAGAGGGGGGUAGAAUUCCAGGUGUAGCGGUGAAAUGCGUAGAGAUCUGGAGGAAUACCGGUGGCGAAGGCGGCCCCCUGGACGAAGACUGACGCUCAGGUGCGAAAGCGUGGGGAGCAAACAGG
This 429-nucleotide ribosomal RNA is filed under the name Chloroflexota bacterium. RNAcentral describes it as "Chloroflexi bacterium partial 16S ribosomal RNA". It matches the Rfam family "Bacterial small subunit ribosomal RNA", at positions 355 to 776 of the family's 1533-position model. The record is from RNAcentral. Lineage: Bacteria; Bacillati; Chloroflexota.